AAAGGAGCGUGAACAGGGGCUCUACGUUUGCUACACCAUGGAGCACAGAAGUUGAUGGGCUGUCCCAGACGCCAGUUGACAUUUUGUCCCCAGUCCAAGCGAAUGCAACAUAAAAAACUCACUCAGGCAUGAAACCGGGAGGAACGCCGAGCUCAUCCUCUGCCCCCAGCGUGCACCUCUUGGUGGGGAGUGCAAGAAAAUUUGUCUGCUCAGCAUCCAUGAUGUGACUCUCCGCUUCCUCCACAUCCGGAAAACGCUCGACUGGAUUGAGAUCUGGUGACUAUGGAGGCCACUGAGGAACAGUGAACUCAGUAUCAUGUCCAAGAGAUCAGUUUAAUGUAAUCCGAGCAUUGUGAGCUGGUUAACCUGCAGAAAGAAUCCAGCAGAGGAUACUGUGGUCAUGAAAGAAUGGACAUGGUUAGCAACAAUACUAAGGUGCUGGUACUAACUAUUAUGGCACGUGCCCGAGGGAAAUAUCCCCCACACCACCAGCCCCAGCCAGAA
Molecule: long non-coding RNA, 504 nt
Organism: Fundulus heteroclitus (mummichog)
Lineage: Eukaryota; Metazoa; Chordata; Actinopteri; Cyprinodontiformes; Fundulidae
Exons: 3
Source: RefSeq, a predicted model, not a curated record